AUACUGAUCUGGCAGGGGAGAUACCAUGAUCAAGAAGGUGGUUUUCCCAGGGCGAGGCUUAUCCAUUGCACUCCGGAUGUGCUGACAUUUGCAAUUUCCCCAAAUGCGGGAAACUCAACUGCAUAAUUUGUGGUAGUGGGGGACUGUGUUCGCAGUCUCCCCUA
Molecule: small nuclear RNA, 164 nt
Filed under: Castor canadensis (American beaver)
Lineage: Eukaryota; Metazoa; Chordata; Mammalia; Rodentia; Castoridae
Description: U1 spliceosomal RNA (ENSCCNG00000010564.1)
Rfam family: U1 spliceosomal RNA
About the family: U1 is a small nuclear RNA (snRNA) component of the spliceosome (involved in pre-mRNA splicing). Its 5' end forms complementary base pairs with the 5' splice junction, thus defining the 5' donor site of an intron.
Source: Rfam by way of RNAcentral